CCAGGACCUAGACUACUGUCUGCUAACUAAACCAUCACUUUAAGUGCAUCUUUGGAUGUUACUCAUUGUGUAACUUUGACAUCUGGCCUCAAAUCAAGUAGGACUACCCGCUGAACUUAAGCAUAUCAAUAAGCGGAGGAAAAGAAACUAACAAGGAUUCCCCUAGUAACGGCGAGUGAAGCGGGAAGAGCUCAAAUUUGAAAUCUGGUGGCCUCAGGUCAUCCGAGUUGUAAUCUAUAGAAGUGUUUUCCGUGCUGGCUCAUGUACAAGUCCCUUGGAACAGGGCGUCAUAGAGGGUGAGAAUCCCGUCCUUGACAUGAACUACCAGUGCUCUGUGAUACAUUUUCAACGAGUCGAGUUGUUUGGGAAUGCAGCUCAAAAUGGGUGGUAAAUUCCAUCUAAAGCUAAAUAUUGGCGAGAGACCGAUAGCGAACAAGUACCGUGAGGGAAAGAUGAAAAGCACUUUGGAAAGAGAGUUAAACAGUAUGUGAAAUUGUUGAAAGGGAAACGAUUGAAGUCAGUCGUGCUCUUUGGAUUCAGCCGGUUCUGCCGGUGUACUUCCUUUGAGUGGGGUCAACAUCAGUUUUGAUCGCUGGAUAAAGGCUGGAGGAACGUAGUACCCUCGGGUAAACUUAUAGCCUCCUGUCACAUACAGUGGUUGGGACUGAGGAACGCAGCACGCCUUUAUGGCCGGGAUUCG
This 700-nucleotide ribosomal RNA is filed under the name Filobasidium magnum. Its description in RNAcentral is "eukaryotic LSU rRNA". The stretch from base 84 to 700 matches the Rfam family "Eukaryotic large subunit ribosomal RNA", at positions 1 to 622 of the family's 3401-position model. Lineage: Eukaryota; Fungi; Basidiomycota; Tremellomycetes; Filobasidiales; Filobasidiaceae. The record is from RNAcentral.